ACAAUGAAGAGUUUGAUCCUGGCUCAGGAUGAACGCUAGCUACAGGCUUAACACAUGCAAGUCGAGGGGCAGCAUUCUUCUAGCAAUAGAAGAGAUGGCGACCGGCGCACGGGUGAGUAACACGUAUCCAACCUGCCGAUAACUCCGGAAUAGCCUUUCGAAAGAAAGAUUAAUACCGGAUGGCAUACGAAUAUCGCAUGAUAUUUUUAUUAAAGAAUUUCGGUUAUCGAUGGGGAUGCGUUCCAUUAGUUUGUUGGCGGGGUAACGGCCCACCAAGACUACGAUGGAUAGGGGUUCUGAGAGGAA
This 306-nucleotide ribosomal RNA is filed under the name Bacteroides sp. Its description in RNAcentral is "partial 16S ribosomal RNA". It matches the Rfam family "Bacterial small subunit ribosomal RNA", at positions 1 to 301 of the family's 1533-position model. The record is from RNAcentral. Lineage: Bacteria; Pseudomonadati; Bacteroidota; Bacteroidia; Bacteroidales; Bacteroidaceae.